Molecule: long non-coding RNA, 1256 nt
Organism: Cavia porcellus (domestic guinea pig)
Lineage: Eukaryota; Metazoa; Chordata; Mammalia; Rodentia; Caviidae
Exons: 2
Source: RefSeq, a predicted model, not a curated record
UGGUUUGGAUCCCAGCAGCUCUCACUAGAGAAAAAUCAAAAGAUCACUGUUGAGAGCCUCGCCCACAGAGCUGGGGCAGAAGGCAGAUUUCUGUGUGAAGGUCCUGCGAGCCUUGGAUGUGUCCCGUGGCCGUGGCCUCGGCGGUCCUGGCUCCUCCGAGAGGCCGGAUGCGGCAGCAGGACCCCGAGAGACCGCGGCCCGGGGCGGAGCGCGCGCCCUGGUCAGGCACAGGGGGUGCUGCGCGGAGACCCCAGCUUUCCAGGUCCUCUCCGCUCGUUUUCCUAGUGAAUUUACUGGUAAGAGUACAAAUGGGGGAGAAAAAAAAAGGCAAGCAACUCAUCGGCGUUAUCCAGCUCCUCGUCCCCCUUCUCCACCCUGUUAUCGGGGACCACGACAGGAAGCAGCGGCAUUUCCUGAUGACGGUGGAGGGCGCUGCAGUCGCAGCUAUUGUAACAUCCAAGCGGCCGCUCGCUUUGAUCUGGUAGAAUGAUGAGCUCCCAGAUGACUUGAGGUUCGUGGCAGCGCCUGCAGGGGACGCUGCUGCGCUCGGGCCGGGAGCUGGGUCAGCGGAGUCUGCGCGCCCUGGAGCGGCCCGAGCAGAGGCGGCGAGGGCGGAGGCCCGGGGAAGAGGCUGCACCCAGCGUCUCCGCGCACAGUCCAGUUCCUUUCCCCGCCUGGAGAGGCGGCAGACGCGGGCGCGCAGAGUCUGGGAGGAGCCCAGACCGCUGGUUGCUUAGCAACGUGCACGGGAGUGUUAAUUAAAGCAGGACAGACAGCCAACGCUCCCUUGGGAAUGGCGGUGGCGCCGUCGGGACCUCAGGCUCAGGCCGCGCGGGCCAGGCCGGCCUAGAGGUCAGCUGGGUGUAAGCAGGAGUCUGUUCCUUGGCGGAGAGUCAAGGACCCAACCGCACACCUUGCCACAAGGCCACCUCUACUUACUUACAGGAGAGCCCUCCUUUGGUAUUUUGUUGUGACUACCCUGCUGUCUCUGCGGCUGCCCUUUCCCAAACCCUAAAGGCAAAAAGCAGGGAAAAUGCUGACACGAUGGGCACGACAUUGGGAGUCACUACCUAAAAUCAGGGCCCAAGAAUUCCUGAAACCAGCAACAUGAAAACGUAAGGGAUGCGUCAGUUGUUGAUAUUCUAGCUCCCGAGCAAAUCUAACGAACUUUGCAAUCACUUCUCCCAGGCCUCCGAGAAUAAUUAAACUGGGUAAUGAGAUUGUCUUGAUCUUAUUAAAUUUCGUACAGCUAACAA